GGCCUCUGAGCUCUCUGUCUCACGGCUUUCUCUGCCCUCUCCCAGCCUUUAAUCCUAGACGGUGGGAGGCCUCCAGAUAAGGCUGGGGCGCCACCCACCCCCACCUGCCCCGCACCUUCCUUCCUCCGCACCAGCGAGGGAGUGACCUAGGAGAUGAUAAACUCGUGCCCAGGAGCUUGGAGGCCACU
Molecule: long non-coding RNA, 188 nt
Filed under: Dasypus novemcinctus (nine-banded armadillo)
Lineage: Eukaryota; Metazoa; Chordata; Mammalia; Cingulata; Dasypodidae
Description: lncRNA (ENSDNOG00000051156.1)
Source: RNAcentral